Non-coding RNA from Acanthosepion pharaonis, 98 nucleotides. The record is from the annotation of a GenBank genome assembly. Lineage: Eukaryota; Metazoa; Mollusca; Cephalopoda; Sepiida; Sepiidae.
UAGAUUUACCCGUUGUCGUACGACAACCGAAGUUAAGCAACGUUGAGCCUGGUCAGUAGCUAGAUGUGUGACCGCUUGGGAAUACAUGGGGCUGUAAG